UUGUUACUGCUCUUGAGUUGUGUUAAGACACAUUCUUAAGAAGUGCUGGUAAUGGAAUGGUAAUGUCAGUCGUCAGAUAUAUGCUGAAAUGUACAAAUGUAAGUUCCGGCCCAAACCAUUAAUUUAGAAUUCCAGCAACUGGGCUUUUUCGUGGUAACUUUUUUGUUUUUCUGAUA
Non-coding RNA from Jatropha curcas, 176 nucleotides. The record is from RefSeq and is a predicted model, not a curated record. Lineage: Eukaryota; Viridiplantae; Streptophyta; Magnoliopsida; Malpighiales; Euphorbiaceae.